This 460-nucleotide ribosomal RNA is filed under the name uncultured bacterium. RNAcentral describes it as "partial 16S ribosomal RNA". It matches the Rfam family "Bacterial small subunit ribosomal RNA", at positions 338 to 795 of the family's 1533-position model. The record is from RNAcentral.
CCUACGGGGGGCUGCAGUGAGGAAUAUUGGUCAAUGGCCGGAAGGCUGAACCAGCGAUGCCGCGUGAAGGUCAGUGCCCUUUGGGCGUUAAACUUCUUUUGUGCGGGAGCAAUAAUGGUCACGUGUGGCCAGACGACAGUACCGUACGAAUAAGCAUCGGCUCACUCCGUGCCAGCAGCCGCGGUAAUACGGGGGGGGCAAGCGUUAUCCGGAUUUUUUGGGUUUGAGGGGGGCGUAAGCUGUGAGGUAAGUCAGCGGUGAAAUGCCCCCGGUCAACGGGGUGAAGUGCCAUUGAUACUGCCUUGCUGGAAUGCGGAUGACGUGGGAGGAAUGUGUGGUGUAGCGGUGAAAUGCAUAGAUAUCACACAGAACACCGAUUGCGAAGGCAUCUCACGAAUCCGCGAUUGACGCUGAUGCACGAAAGCGUGGGUAUCAAACAGGAUUAGAUACCCUUGUAGUC